CAGUAUAGGGCUACAAGCAAGUAAUGGAUGCCUAGGAUGCUAGUGCCGAAGAAGGACGUAUUAGACCGCGAAAGUCGUCGGGGAGCUGUCAAAAAGCUUUGAUCCGGCGGUGUCCGAAUGAGAUAACUCCUCUUAUAUAGAGAUCCCGACGUAGCCGCAAGGCGAAGUGGGAGGGGCACGCCUCGAACUGAAACAUCUAAGUAGGGGCAGGAAAAUAAAUCACAUGAGAUUCCGUAAGUAGCGGCGAGCGAAAGCGGAACAGCCUAAACCAAUGUCGCAAGACAUCGGGGUUGCGGGACUGAUGACAUGGGAUGAAUAUGGGUAAUUGAACUGUCUGGAAAGGCAGACCACAGAGCGUGAGAGUCGCGUAAGUGAAACUUAUAUUCACUCUAAUCAGAUUCCCAAGUACCAUGAGACACGUAUCUUGUGGGAAUCCGGGGUGGCCACACUCCAAGGCUAAAUACACGAGCAUACCGAUAGUGAACUAGUACCGUGAGGGAAAGGUGAAAAGAAGGGUUAAACACCCUGUGAAAUAGUACCUGAAAUUAUUUGCUAACAAACAGACAGAGGGGUGCACCGUCUGGUGCGUCCUGAUGUCGUGCCUAUUGAAGAAUUAUCCGGCGAGUUUUCGUUUUGUGCGAGUUUAACCCCGAUUAAAUCGGGGGAAGGCGUAGGGAAACCGAGUCUGAAUAGGGCGUUUAGCACAAGAUGGAAGACCCGAAACCUGGUGAGCUAACCAUGAGCAGG
This 747-nucleotide ribosomal RNA is filed under the name bacterium. Its description in RNAcentral is "partial 23S ribosomal RNA". It matches the Rfam family "Bacterial large subunit ribosomal RNA", at positions 1 to 744 of the family's 2925-position model. The record is from RNAcentral.